Sycon ciliatum is the source of this 903-nucleotide long non-coding RNA. RefSeq lists it as uncharacterized. The transcript has 3 exons. The record is from RefSeq and is a predicted model, not a curated record. Lineage: Eukaryota; Metazoa; Porifera; Calcarea; Leucosolenida; Sycettidae.
AGUCACGCAUGAUAGAAAGGAGCAGUUUCCUCGUUUGAAGCAAGUGACGAAAUUAAAUAUAAUCACCCCACGCAGAUCUAUGUCCAGACUUCCUCGCCAUUUUCAGACCCUGAUCAGUUCCUUUGAUUGCUAUCCAGACCACCCGCUUCCAUUCAUCCGCGUCCAAAGAGUAGUAAGACUGGUCCGGGAGGAAGGAGGGAAAGAAGGAAGGAAGGUAUUGAUUGUGAAGACCUGAAAAUCGGACAUGCGCUAGGAAACAAGGUUGGCCGACUGAAACAAGGUUUGAAAGGGGACCAACACCCGAAGCCAUGAGGCGCUGGCUGGCGCUAGCAUUUCUGAUCGUCGUACUAGUGGCGAUACUCAGUCUUGACGAUGCGGAAUCGUCGAGGAGGCGACGCAGCGUGCGCCGCUAUGCGUCGAGGAGGGUGAUAUUCACCGGUCGGCGAAGGUACAUACCAGUUAGACGCGGACGCUACGUGCGCACGACGCCGCGGAGAGUGGUUCGCAGCACAAGGCGGUACCGACGAACUGGAACCUACUAUGCAUCCUGGAGUCAAUGGUCAGCGUGUACAGCGUCAUGCGGUGAGGGCAUGCAGAAGCGUACGCGAUGCUGCAAAGGAACCGUUUCUGCGUGCAUGGCGAUGCCGCCGAUUCUGCAGACCAGGACGUGUCGGAGCAGUAGCCGAUGCCCAGGUGGAUAUUACUACAGUCCGUGGGGUGCCUGGUCACACUGCUCUCACAGCUGUGGUGAUGGCGUGAGCUAUCGCAAGCGCUGCUGCCGUGGGUCGCCGAUCCUGUGCAUCUACCGGCCACCGCAGAUGGAGACGAUGGCGUGCAAUCUUGGCCUCUGCGCAACGCCAGGUAGGAGAUGUUACGUGCAGUGUACAGUGUUUGUUGCAGCAU